This 322-nucleotide ribosomal RNA is filed under the name uncultured eukaryote. RNAcentral's name for it is "partial 18S ribosomal RNA". It matches the Rfam family "Eukaryotic small subunit ribosomal RNA", at positions 1470 to 1796 of the family's 1831-position model. The record is from RNAcentral.
CCCUUAGAUGUUCUGGGCCGCACGCGUGCUACACUGAGUAAAUCAAUGGGUAAGGGAACACGAAAGUGCAACCUAAUCUUGAAAUUUGCUCGUGAUGGGGAUCGACGGUUGCAAUUUUCCGUCGUGAACGAGGAAUACCUUGUAGGCGCGUGUCAUCAUCACGCGCCGAAUACGUCCCUGCCCUUUGUAUACACCGCCCGUCGCUCCUACCGAUUGAGUGAUCCGGUGAGGCUCUGGGACCUGGACGGAAAGAGCGUUUCGCUUGUUCUGUUUGGGAAACUUGGUCGAACCUUAUCAUUUAGAGGAAGGAGAAGUCGUAACA